RNAcentral lists this unclassified non-coding RNA (143 nucleotides) under plant metagenome. RNAcentral's name for it is "partial contains small subunit ribosomal RNA and internal transcribed spacer 1". The stretch from base 1 to 46 matches the Rfam family "Eukaryotic small subunit ribosomal RNA", at positions 1786 to 1831 of the family's 1831-position model. The record is from RNAcentral.
AAGUCGUAACAAGGUUUCCGUAGGUGAACCUGCGGAAGGAUCAUUAGAGAUGUGCGCAAGCACUUUUUAACUCAUACACCUGUGCACCGUGGUCUUCGGCACUAUAACAAUCAUUGUAGUCAUGACGUCUUAAUAGUAAACAA